GAUGAACGCUGGCGGCGUGCCUAAUACAUGUAAGUCGAGCGAACAGAUGAGGAGCUUGCUCCUCUGACGUUAGCGGCGGACGGGUGAGUAACACGUGGAUAACCUACCUAUAAGACUGGGAUAACUUCGGGAAACCGGAGCUAAUACCGGAUAAUAUAUUGAACCGCAUGGUUCAAUAGUGAAAGACGGUUUUGCUGUCACUUAUAGAUGGAUCCGCGCCGCAUUAGCUAGUUGGUAAGGUAACGGCUUACCAAGGCAACGAUGCGUAGCCGACCUGAGAGGGUGAUCGGCCACACUGGAACUGAGACACGGUCCAGACUCCUACGGGAGGCAGCAGUAGGGAAUCUUCCGCAAUGGGCGAAAGCCUGACGGAGCAACGCCGCGUGAGUGAUGAAGGUCUUCGGAUCGUAAAACUCUGUUAUUAGGGAAGAACAAAUGUGUAAGUAACUAUGCACGUCUUGACGGUACCUAAUCAGAAAGCCACGGCUAACUACGU
RNAcentral lists this ribosomal RNA (496 nucleotides) under uncultured bacterium. RNAcentral's name for it is "partial 16S ribosomal RNA". It matches the Rfam family "Bacterial small subunit ribosomal RNA", at positions 28 to 506 of the family's 1533-position model. The record is from RNAcentral.